Molecule: ribosomal RNA, 428 nt
Filed under: uncultured archaeon
Lineage: Archaea
Description: bacterial SSU rRNA
Rfam family: Archaeal small subunit ribosomal RNA
Source: RNAcentral
UACCAGCUCUCCGAGUGGUAGGGAUGAUUAUUGGGCUUAAAGCGUCCGUAGCCGGCUUAGCAAGUCUCCUGUUAAAUUCAGCGACCUAAUCGUUGAGCCGCGGGAGAUACUACUAGGCUAGGAGGCGGGAGAGGCCGACGGUACUUCUGGGGUAGGGGUGAAAUCCUAUAAUCCCGGGAGGACCACCAGUGGCGAAGGCUGUCGACUAGAACGCGCUCGACGGUGAGGGACGAAAGCUGGGGGAGCGAACCGGAUUAGAUACCCGGGUAGUCCCAGCUGUAAACGAUGCGGGCUAGGUGUUGGGGUGGCUACGUGCCACUUCAGUGCCGCAGGGAAGCCAUUAAGCCCGCCGCCUGGGGAGUACGGCCGCAAGGCUGAAACUUAAAGGAAUUGGCGGGGAGCACCACAAGGCGUGAAGCUUGCGGUUC